CAUGUGACGCGUGGAUGUGUGUGUGUGUGUGUGUGUGUGUGUGUGCGUGUGCACGCGCGUGUAUAUUAUCACACACACAAACACACUCACACAUACACACAGUACGUAUA
This 110-nucleotide microRNA precursor is filed under the name Bigelowiella natans CCMP2755. Its description in RNAcentral is "miRNA EPrBNAG00000013358". Lineage: Eukaryota; Cercozoa; Chlorarachniophyceae. The record is from RNAcentral.